CCGCAUACGUCCUACUGGAGAAAGCAGGGGACCUUUGGGCCUUGCGCUAAUAGAUGAGCCUAAGUCGGAUUAGCUAGUUGGUAGGGUAAAGGCCUACCAAGGCGACGAUCUGUAGCGGGUCUGAGAGGAUGAUCCCCCACACUGGGACUGAGACACGCCCAGACUCCUACGGGAGGCAGCAGUGGGGAAUAUUGGACAAUGGGGGGAACCCUGAUCCAGCCAUGCCGCGUGUGGAAGAAGGCCUUUUGGUUGUAAAGCACUUUAAGCGAGGAGGAGGCUACCUAGAUUAAUACUUUAGGAUAGUGGACGUUACUCGCAGAAUAAGCACCGGCUAACUCUGUGCCAGCAGCCGCGGUAAUACAGAGGGUGCGAGCGUUAAUCGGAUUUACUGGGCGUAAAGCGUGCGUAGGCGGCCAAUUAAGUCAAAUGUGAAAUCCCCGAGCUUAACUUGGGAAUUGCAUUCGAUACUGGUUGGCUAGAGUAUGGGAGAGGAUGGUAGAAUUCCAGGUGUAGCGGUGAAAUGCGUAGAGAUCUGGAGGAAUACCGAUGGCGAAGGCAGCCAUCUGGCCUAAUACUGACGCUGAGGUACGAAAGCAUGGGGAGCAAACAGGAUUAGAUACCCUGGUAGUCCAUGCCGUAAACGAUGUCUACUAGCCGUUGGGGCCCUUGAGGCUUUAGUGGCGCAGCUAACGCGAUAAGUAGACCGCCUGGGGAGUACGGUCGCAAGACUAAAACUCAAAUGAAUUGACGGGGGCCCGCACAAGCGGUGGAGCAUGUGGUUUAAUUCGAUGCAACGCGAAGAACCUUACCUGGCCUUGACAUACAGAGAACUUUCCAGAGAUGGAUUGGUGCCUUCGGGAACUCUGAUACAGGUGCUGCAUGGCUGUCGUCAGCUCGUGUCGUGAGAUGUUGGGUUAAGUCCCGCAACGAGCGCAACCCUUUUCCUUAUUUGCCAGCACUUCGGGUGGGAACUUUAAGGAUACUGCCAGUGACAAACUGGAGGAAGGCGGGGACGACGUCAAGUCAUCAUGGCCCUUACGGCCAGGGCUACACACGUGCUACAAUGGUCGGUACAAAGGGUUGCUACACAGCGAUGUGAUGCUAAUCUCAAAAAGCCGAUCGUAGUCCGGAUUGGAGUCUGCAACUCGACUCCAUGAAGUCGGAAUCGCUAGUAAUCGCGGAUCAGAAUGCCGCGGUGAAUACGUUCCCGGGCCUUGUACACACCGCCCGUCACACCAUGGGAGUUUGUUGCACCAGAAGUAGGUAGUCUAACCGCAAGGAGGACGCUUACCCAACGGUGGCC
This 1303-nucleotide ribosomal RNA is filed under the name Acinetobacter radioresistens. RNAcentral describes it as "bacterial SSU rRNA". It matches the Rfam family "Bacterial small subunit ribosomal RNA", at positions 169 to 1467 of the family's 1533-position model. Lineage: Bacteria; Pseudomonadati; Pseudomonadota; Gammaproteobacteria; Moraxellales; Moraxellaceae. The record is from RNAcentral.